This 460-nucleotide ribosomal RNA is filed under the name uncultured bacterium. RNAcentral describes it as "partial 16S ribosomal RNA". It matches the Rfam family "Bacterial small subunit ribosomal RNA", at positions 338 to 795 of the family's 1533-position model. The record is from RNAcentral.
CCUACGGGAGGCAGCAGUGAGGAAUAUUGGUCAAUGGCCGGAAGGCUGAACCAGCCAUGCCGCGUGAAGGUCAGUGCCCUAUGGGCGUUAAACUUCUUUUGUGCGGGAGCAAUAAUGGUCACGUGUGGCCAGACGAGAGUACCGUACGCAUAAGCAUCGGCUAACUCCGUGCCAGCAACCGCGGUAAUACGGGGGAUGCAAGCGUUAUCCUGAUUUCUGGGGUUUAAAGGGUGCGUAAGGUGGUAGAUAAGUCAGCGGUGAAAUGCCCCCGCUCAAAGGGGUGAAGUGCCAUUGAUACUGGCUUGCUGGAAUGCAGAUGCGGUGGGAGGAAUGUGUGGUGUAGCGGUGAAAUGCAUAGAUAUCACACAGAACACCGAUUGCGAAGGCAUCUCACGAAUCCGCGAUUGACGCUGAUGCACGAAAGCGUGGGUAUCAAACAGGAUUAGAUACCCUUGUAGUC